UCACUGCGCCCGCGGCCGGCGGUGGAGCCGUGAUCUCUUAGGGGCGCUGCCGCCAAGUGCCGGAACACCUGCCCACGCGCCAGCCAGGGUCACCGCUCCCGCUCCCGGCUGAGCGCCACUCAGCGCCCUGUGCCCUGGGCUGGACUUGACCGCUGGCUACGCUUUGGUCUGGCCUGGGGCAGCCAGUGCUGAUCUGGGUGACUGAAACUGAGGGAGCCCACCUUGCUGGGGCAGACAGACGUGACUCACCUUCAGUCUGGUUCUAGGCUGUGACACAAUGAAGACGUAGGUCUGCAAAUAAACAACGUCCAUACCUGAAGGCACCAGCUGCAGGAAGAGAAGGACACUGCCGCCCAGGAAGAGGGCAGCAGAGAUGGAAUAUCUCCGGGGCAAGUACUGCAGCAACAGCCAGGCCAUCACAUAGGCUGGGACUUCAACAGCCGCCGAAAAGAAGCUGUUCACAUAGAUGUCCCCAUGCAAGUUGGGAGUGUCAAGAGAAAGUCCAAAAUAGCCCACUGAUAUGGUCAGCCUGCAACAGGGGACAGAAGAGAGCUGCAGAAGCAGUACCUAUCUCUCCAGACCCACACACCUUGAGAAAACUCAUCUUGACAAGUUCUGAACUGCUCUUGAUGCAGGGAAUGGGCGGGUAGUAGUAGAUUUUACCCUGUGCUUCCUACUACAAAAGUAGUAACUUUCUGUAGCCCCAGCCACUAGUUUAAAUCCUUUGUUAGUAUACCUUCAGAACAUUCCAUAAAAAAGUAUCUCAUCAAAA
Long non-coding RNA from Mesocricetus auratus (golden hamster), 772 nucleotides. RefSeq lists it as uncharacterized. NCBI's taxonomy places the organism in Eukaryota, Metazoa, Chordata, Mammalia, Rodentia, Cricetidae. The transcript is spliced from 2 exons. The record is from RefSeq and is a predicted model, not a curated record.